Meleagris gallopavo (turkey) is the source of this 1585-nucleotide long non-coding RNA. Lineage: Eukaryota; Metazoa; Chordata; Aves; Galliformes; Phasianidae. The record is from Ensembl.
AUGCUAUUUAUGUUCGUUUUAACUUCAUUCCAAUCUGUUUGCAUUACAUUGAACAUUUGCUUCGACAGACGUUGUUUUUUUUUCCUGCUGAAGGCGAGCAGAUUGUGCUUGGUAUCGCAAGUCCUCCACAAACAUUCCAUAGCUGUGACAGGACCUGCACCUUAUCGCAUUUUAAUCCUUCACACAUAUAAAAUACUUUCAUUAAAUCCCGUCUCCGUGCGACUUCCCAUAGUCCGCUCACAGCCGCAGCGCCGUACACAACGAGGGCAAGGCGCGGCAGGGCCGGGCCCACUGCGGCACGGGGGCCCUCCCGGGGCCGGCGCCGUGAGGCGGCUCCCGCCCAGCCACCGGCACGCAGCGGGCACUACGAGUACCGAGAUGCAGCGCGCGGAGGGGCGGGCUCCGUGGGCACUACAGAUCCCACAAUGCUCCGCGUCGCCCUGUGGCUCCGCUCGGGGAGGCUGGUUCCUAUUUAAAUCUGGGCAGCGAGGAAAAUGGCGGCGAGAGGUUGAGCGCGGGGGAGACGGGGACAGAGCUGCGCCUUGGCUCCUUUCCCAGUCCAUGAAAACAAAGCCAUUAGAUUCAGUGCCCUUGGAGUACUGCUGGUGCUACUCAGGAAAGCCAGGCAUUCCUACCAGCUUCUGUUGGAGAGAGAAGACUGCUAGUACAUCCAAAUAAAGCUGCAGUCAGCAUUGUCAGAGGGAUGGUUAGAGCAGCAGAUGAAUGUGAAUGCAACCAGUUGAUAUGAAAAGCUUCAGUUCGCUUUCUUAAGAAAUGAGGUACUUGAAUAAAACUCCUUUACCUGCCUACUGGUGAUUAGCUGUUAAGUAGUCUGACUGGAAGUAUCCAUUUUGAAACUCUUGAUUGGUAUAGGCCUUUGGUGUGUGCUUACAUGUGAAUGUCUCAUAAAUAUUUCCCAGGAGCAAUUUAUUUUUCUAAUUAGCUUGAACAUCCUCUGCUUUAGGUAGCGCUUUAAGCAAUUUUCAGUAAAUCAAUUCAAUCACACAGCUGUUGUUUGAAACUUUUCCUAAGUUCCCGUAAUUCUCUGUAGAGACCCAGAAUCUCACUAAUUAGUACACUUAAUCAUACCUUCUAUAAAAUGCGUGGCAAUAUGGAUUAAUCAGUCCCAGAAUUUCAUAGGAAAACAGGGUAACAGAAAACCAAGUGUAUAUAGCUGUGAAAGCAGUCUGUUAUUCUCAUGUACCAGUUAUGUACAGUGUGCACAAGCUGGCACAAAAUGGCUGAGCACUGAGCUUUUUGCAUGGCAGUCAUCACAAAAUAAUUAAUUUGGGGCUGCAGGUUUUUGUACUUAGACUUUUAAGUUACUAAGAUCAAACAUCAACUUUUUCUUUAGAUUUCCUCUGAAGGAAAAAGUACAUUUUCUGUUCCUAUAUGAAAGGACAUCUAUCUUAGUAUGGUGGUAUCUGUGAUGUUACAGUUCAGACUGUUAGCUGUUCGGCACAUACUAGAGGUGACAUUUACAGUUAAUACAAAUGAGUUUUAAAUUUCUUUCAUGUUAGUUACAGUGACUGUUUAGUUUUUGGUGAGAUUGUUAAUAUUAGAUUAAAAGAAAAAAUGGGAAUGC